CCUGCCCAAGAGCCCAGCCCCACGGAGAAGCGCUUGAAGGCCUUUUCCCCAGGAGUCCAGCCCUCCCUCCUCUGCCUCCACAGAACCUGGGAAGUGCCAGACGGAGGGAAGAAACUGGACAGCUCUGAGAGAGGGCAGGACCUCCAAGACUGCUGGAGUUUUCCUUGCCUUUCCCCUUUCAGCAGUGCUGGGAAGCAAAGCUUUGUGGCUGAGAGAGUGGACCCACUGCCCACGCUAACGCAGGCCCCUGGAGGCUCAGAGGUGGAAAUUGGGGAUCGGAAGUGGAGGCCGAGAGAGAGAUUCCUCCGUCGCCACCCCUUUCCAUUAAGGAUACACCUUUCUCCCAGGGUGCUCAGCACGUGGGAAUCUUACUUUCUAAACCAUCACCCCCUGCACUGGAAGCACAGAGUCUUAACAACUAGACUGCCAAGAAGUCCCAGAUUUCUUCUUUUUGUAUUCCUUGUUUUACACAUCAGUUCCAGAGAAGGGCAAAUGCAUCACCGCCUGAAGACGGGGAAGCUGGAGUCGGUGAGGGUUCUCUUCUGUGUCACUACGCUACAUUAGGAAUAAAACCUUCCACUUAAACACUUAAAUGAAAACAUCGAGAAACUAAUUUACUAUUUGCA
Molecule: long non-coding RNA, 626 nt
Filed under: Capra hircus (goat)
Lineage: Eukaryota; Metazoa; Chordata; Mammalia; Artiodactyla; Bovidae
Description: lncRNA (ENSCHIG00000001889.1)
Source: RNAcentral